AAAGUGAAUUUUUUUAAUUUAAGCACUCUUUCAUCUUCCCUUACACUCUUAUUAGUUUACUCUUUUUGUUUUAGUGUACACUUUUUUUGUGAUACUAUCUUCACAGACCCAAAAAUGUUAUUUCUAAACACCAUUUAGGCUCCUAUAUACAAGCAGGGCCUAGGCUCCUCCCCUCUGUUUAUUUUUGAAUUUUUAAAUUUUUCAGAGCCUUUUCUUUGAAUAUAUCAAGCACUUAAAAGUGCAUUUUUUGAAUUUAAGCACUCUUUCAUCUUUUCUUACACUCUUAGAAGUUUAAUAUUUUUUGUUUUAGUGUACACUUUUUUGUGUUACUAUCUUCACAGACCCAUUUAUUUCUUUUUCACUUACAUACAUGGUGUUUAGAAAGAAAAUUAAAAAAAUUAAAUUGAGCUCAGUGAAGAAAAUAUGUAUUUUACACAAGUCAUGCCUGAAGAAGACACAGAAGGUUGUCGAAACGUCAUGAUAAAAGGCUUGGGUACUUGUAUAUAGUUUAAAAUCUCGACAGCUUUCUGUGUCUUCUUCAAGCACUUAAAAGUGCAUUUUUUGAAUUUAAGCACUCUUUCAUCUUCCCUUACACUCUUAUAAGUUUAAGAGUCUAUUUACAUGACUCUUAACCCAUAUGUAUCUUUUUUGAUUUUUUUCAGAUGGAGACAUCCAGUAUGGUUUUCCGUAAAGGGAGACCAGCGAGGCCCAGAGAGAGAGGCACGGGCUGAGUUAGAUGGAGACAUCCAGUAUGGUUUUCCGUAAAGGGAGACCAGCGAGGCCCAGAGAGAGAGGCACGGGCUGAGUUAGGCCUUUGUGCAAAGCGGUCAGUGGAACGGAUGGACAGUGCAUAACCGUCUUCGGGUCCCUCAGGACCUGUCGAUUGGACUUACAAAAAUCCUAACCUCAGCUCGAGCCUCCCUCUCUGAACUUUGGAAAAUGGUUGGGAUUAGGUAAAGAUCUCACCUUAGACUUCCUAUCCCGGUCUCUAAUAUAUUAUUAAAUGAAAUUAAUAUUAUAAUAAUAAUAAAAAUAAUAAAACAGAUCUCUAUGCCUAUACACACUGGUAAGGGUACAAUAAAAAGGUUAUUGUACUGAACAAACUGUAUUUUCUAUCCCCUUAACCUACACCUCACACAAAACUACAAGCAUUACAUUACCCAAAAAAAAAAAAAAAAAUCUCCUCCUGUAUGAUUUCUAAUAAGCACAGUUUAUGAUCUCGCAGUGACACGAGUCCCCAUUAAUCUUUGUGUAUUUGUUACGUGCUGGAGCUGAUGCUUACGAAAGAGGAUUGCACGGCCAAGCACUCAUAAAACCAUCUCAAGAUCAAAGUCAUUAUAAUUCAAGAUUCAUCAAUGGAUGCUCUGCAGUGAAUGGGUGCCAUCAGAAUGAGAGCAGAUAAAAACCUCACAAUAAUCCACAGCACUCCAGUCCAUCAGUGAACAUCUGGAGAAGACAAAAGAUGAAACACAUCCAGCAUUAAGAUGAUAUUAAGAUGAUGAGACUGGUCUUUUGAUGACAAUGACGACAAAAAGUUGCCCGCUUCUGGACACUCUAGAAAAUAAAUAAAUAAAUAAAUAAAUAAAUAAACAAACAAACAAAUAUUAUUUAUAUAUUCGAUUGGACUUACAGAAAUCCUAACCUCAGCCCGAGCCUCCCUCUCUGAACUUUGGAAAAUGGUUGGGAUUAGGUAAAGAUCCCACCUUAGACUUCCUAUCCCUGUCUCUAAUAUAUUAUUAAAUGAAAUUAAUAUUAUAAUAAUAAUAAAAAUAAUAAAACAGAUCUCUAUGCCUAUACACACUGGUAAGAGUACUUACCUGGACAACGCCAAAAAAAGUAAACUUAUAAGAGUGUAAGGGAAGAUGAAAGAGUGCUUAAAUUCAAAAAAUGCACUUUAAAGAUGCUUGAUAUAUUCAAAGAAAAGGCUCUGAAAAUUUUACAAAUUACAAAAUAAACAGAGGGGAGGAGCUUUUAAUUCUAAAAAAUUAAAUUGAGCUCAGAGAAGAAAACCUUUAUUUUACACAAGUCAUGCCUGAAGAAGACACAGAAAGCUGUCGAAACGUCGCGAUAAAAGGCUUGUGUACUUGUAUAUAGUUUAAAAUCUUCACAGACCCAAAAAUUAAAAAAAAUUAAAUUGAGCUCAGGGAAGAAAACAUCUCCAUCUGAAAAAAAUAAAAAAAGAUACAACUCAGACACACACACACACACACACACAAAGACACACAUAUAUAUGCACAAACAUUUUGUUGCAGAUAUAGGUAUUUGAAAUAAGUGAUAGGUGACAAUAAACUUAUUGCAAGUCUUCUCUUUUUUAGAGUUUAGAUGUCAUUUUCAGGUUAAACUGUAAUCAUAAUGUGGCAAAAUUGUAAAAACUGAUACAUCUGUAUGAUCAAAAUGGAAAACAUCAAAUCAAUGAGAUUUAAAAUGUUAUAACAGUUAAUUUAUUAAUGUUUUGCCAUGAAUUCAUAAAAACUGUACUAGAUGAAUGAGCCCAUUAGUGGUCUUCCGCUGCCAUCUAGUGGUUAUAAAUUGCAUUUACUCAAACAACACUGUGUUUUUAAACAUAACUGUUAAAGUGUUGUUGUUUUUUUUUUUGCCCUAUCUCUCUUAAAUUUUGCAUGCUUGUUUAGAAUGAAAUUAUGCAUUACUUUACACAGUUUUGAUAAUUUGUGGGAUUUCUAUUUGUAUUAAUAGGCCUUUGUGCCUCUGGGGUGGUCUCGGCCAACCAGGAUGUAUGGAUGAAUUUUAAAUUUUUAGUUUUUAAGAGUUUAGAUGUCAUUCAGGUUUCACUGUAAUCACAAUGUGGCAAAAUUGUAAAAAAUGAUGUGUAUGUAUGAACAAAAUGGAAAACAUUGAUUCAAUGAGAUGUAAAAUGUUAUAACACUUCUGCAAACAGAGGCUCAGAAACUCCAGGCUGGCGAAAAGAGGUCAACAAACCAUCAGCUGACUUUCACUCAUAUUUAUUAAGAAUUAUUAUUUGUGUUUAAAUGUUCUCUAUAUUAGACACAUACAUAGAGGUCCAAACAUCCCCCACAUUGCUGACAAGGGGACACACUGAGGGCAAGAUAGUAACACAAAAAAAGUGUACACUAAAACAAAAAAAAGUAAACUUAUAAGAGUGUAAGGGAAGAUGAAAGAGUGCUUAAAUUCAAAAAAUGCACUUUAAAGAUGCUUGAUAUAUUCAAAGAAAAGGCUCUGAAAAAAAAAAAAAAUUACAAAAUAAACAGAGGGGAGGAGCUUUUAAUUCUAAAAAAUUAAAUUGAGCUCAGAGAAGAAAACAUUUAUUUUACACAAGUCAUGCCUGAAAAAGACACAGAAAGCUGUCGAAACGUCGCGAUAAAAGGCUUGUGUACUUGUAUAUAGUUUAAAAUCUCAUAUUUUAGGCAAAAACAAAUAGUUUAAAGUUAAUGAUGGAUUCUUUUAUUACAAACACACAGCUUUUAUUCAAAGAAAAGGCUCUGAAAAAUUUAAAAAUUCAAAAAUAAACAAAUUGGCCUCGGCCUUCGAGGUGGCCUCUUCCUGGGCAGAGAAAAAUUAUGGGGGCAAAGUGAACGCAGUGAACCCUCCCCGGGCAUGGCAGCAUAAAUAAACAGAGGGGAGGAGCCUAGGCCCUAAAUGCCUAGGAGACUAAAUGGUGUUUAGAAAUAAAAUUUACAAAUUAAAUUGAGCUCAGUGAAGAAAAUAUGUAUUUUACACAAGUCAUGCCUGAAGAAGACACAGAAGGUUGUCGAAACGUCGCGAUAAAAGGCUUGUGUACUUGUAUAUAGUUUAAAAUCUUCACAGACCCAAAAAUUAAAAAAAAUUAAAUUGAGCUCAGGGAAGAAAACAUCUCCAUCUGAAAAAAAUAAAAAAAGAUACAACUCAGACACACACACACACACAAAGACACACAUAUAUAUGCACAAACAUUUUGUUGCACAUAUAGGUAUUUGAAAUAAGUGAUAGGUGACAAUAAACUUAUUGCAAGUCUUCUCUUUUUUAGAGUUUAGAUGUCAUUUUCAGGUUAAACUGUAAUCAUAAUGUGGCAAAAUUGUAAAAACUGAUACAUCUGUAUGAUCAAAAUGGAAAACAUCAAAUCAAUGAGAUUUAAAAUGUUAUAACAGUUAAUUUAUUAAUGUUUUGCCAUGAAUUCAUAAAAACUGUACUAGAUGAAUGAGCCCAUUAGUGGUCUUCCGCUGCCAUCUAGUGGUUAUAAAUUGCAUUUACUCAAACAACACUGUGUUUUUAAACAUAACUGUUAAAGUGUUGUUGUUUUUUUUUUUUUUUGCCCUAUCCCUCUUAAAUUUUGCAAGCUUGUUUAGAAUGAAAUUAUGCAUUACUUUACACAGUUUUGAUAAUUUGUGGGAUUUCUAUUUGUAUUAAUAGGCCUUUGUGCCUCUGGGGUGGUCUCGGCCAACCAGGAUGUAUGGAUGAAUUUUAAAUUUUUAGUUUUUAAGAGUUUAGAUGUCUUUCAGGUUUCACUGUAAUCACAAUGUGGCAAAAUUGUAAAAAAUGAUGUGUAUGUAUGAACAAAAUGGAAAACAUUGAUUCAAUGAGAUGUAAAAUGUUAUAACACUUCUGCAAACAGAGGCUCAGAAACCCCAGGCUGGCGAAAAGAGGUCAACAAACCAUCAGCUGACUUUCACUCAUAUUUAUUAAGAAUUAUUAUUUGUGUUUAAAUGUUCUCUAUAUUAGACACAUACAUAGAGGUCCAAACAUCCCCCACAUUGCUGACAAGGGGACACACUGAGGGCAAGAUAGUAACACAAAAAAAGUGUACAUUAAAACAAAAAAAGUAAACUUAUAAGAGUGUAAGGGAAGAUGAAAGAGUGCUAAAAUUAAAAAAAUGCACUUUAAAGAUGCUUGAUAUAUUCAAAGAAAAGGCUCUGAAAAUUUUAAAAAUUACAAAAUAAACAGAGGGGAGGAGCUUUUAAUUCUAAAAAAUUAAAUUGAGCUCAGAGAAGAAAACAUUUAUUUUACACAAGUCAUGCCUGAAGAAGACACAGAAAGCUGUCGAAACGUCGCGAUAAAAGGCUUGUGUACUUGUAUAUAGUUUAAAAUCUCAUAUUUUAGGCAAAAACAAAUAGUUUAAAGUUAAUGAUGGAUUCUUUUAUUACAAACACACAGCUUUUUGCUUCACAUGACGUUAAUUGAUGGACUGGAGUCAUGUGGAUUACUUGUGGAUUAUUGUGAUGGUCAUGUGGAUUAAUAUGUGUUGUAAAAUAAAACAAAGGGGUGCUAAAAACACAAAUAAGUGUGUGAAAGUGAAAAAGAAAUAAAUGGGUCUGUGAAGAUAGUAACACAAAAAAGUGUACACUAAAACAAAAAAAUUUAACUUAUAAGAGUGUAAGGGAAGAUGAAAGAGUGCUUAAAUUAAAAAAAUGCACUUUUAAGUGCUUGAUAUAUUCAAAGAAAAGGCUCUGAAAAUUUAAAAAAUUACAAAAUAAACAGAGGGGAGGAGCUUUUAAUUCUAAAAAAUUAAAUUGAGCUCAGAGAAGAAAACAUUUAUUUUACACAAGUCAUGCCUGAAGAAGACACAGAAAGCUGUCGAAACGUCGCGAUAAAAGGCUUGUGUACUUGUAUAUAGUUUAAAAUCUCAUAUUUUAGGCAAAAACAAAUAGUUUAAAGUUAAUGAUGGAUUCUUUUAUUACAAACACACAGCUUUUAUUCAAAGAAAAGGCUCUGAAAAAUUUAAAAAUUCAAAAAUAAACAAAUUGGCCUCGGCCUUCGAGGUGGCCUCUUCCUGGGCAGAGAAAAAUUAUGGGGGCAAAGUGAACGCAGUGAACCCUCCCCGGGCAUGGCAGCAUAAAUAAACAGAGGGGAGGAGCCUAGGCCCUAAAUGCCUAGGAGACUAAAUGGUGUUUAGAAAUAAAAUGUACAAAUUAAAUUGAGCUCAGUGAAGAAAAUAUGUAUUUUACACAAGUCAUGCCUGAAGAAGACACAGAAGGUUGUCGAAACGUCGCGAUAAAAGGCUUGUGUACUUAUAUAUAGUUUAAAAUCUUCACAGACCCAAUGUAACUUUUCAUGCAAAAGUGACCAAUUCUGCCUAAAAUGCUCCCAGGAGCAUGCAUAUGAUGAAACUAGCUGUUUUAAAGCAUAUCUAGCUCAGAACAGCGUUUCUGAGUGAGAAUAGCAUAUUUCUAGUGGCAAUGUAACUUUUCAUGCAAAAGUGACCAAUUCUGCCUAAAAUGCUCCCAGGAGCAUGCAUAUGAUGAAACUAGCUGUUUUAAAGCAUAUCUAGCUCAGAACAGCGUUUCUGAGUGAGAAUAGCAUGUUUCUAGUGGCAAUGUAACUUUUCAUGCAAAAGUGACCAAUUCUGCCUAAAAUGCUCCCAGGAGCAUGCAUAUGAUGAAACUAGCUGUUUUAAAGCAUAUCUAGCACAGAACAGCGUUUCUGAGUGAGAAUAGCAUAUUUCUAGUGGCAAUGUAACUUUUCAUGCAAAAGUGACCAAUUCUGCCUAAAAUGCUCCCAGGAGCAUGCAUAUGAUGAAACUAGCUGUUUUAAAGCAUAUCUAGCUCAGAACAGCGUUUCUGAGUGAGAAUAGCAUAUUUCUAGUGGCAAUGUAACUUUUCAUGCAAAAGUGACCAAUUCUGUCUAAAAUGCUCCCAGGAGCAUGCAUAUGAUGAAACUAGCUGUUUUAAAGCAUAUCUAGCUCAGAACAGCGUUUCUGAGUGAGAAUAGCAUAUUUCUAGUGGCAAUGUAACUUUUCAUGCAAAAGUGACCAAUUCUGCCUAAAAUGCUCCCAGGAGCAUGCAUAUGAUGAAACUAGCUGUUUUAAAGCAUAUCUAGCACAGAACAGCAUUUCUGAGUGAGAAUAGCAUAUUUCUAGUGGCAAUGUAACUUUUCAUGCAAAAGUGACCAAUUCUGCCUAAAAUGCUCCCAGGAGCAUGCAAAUGAUGAAACUUGCUGUUUUAAAGCAUAUCUAGCUCAGAACAGCGUUUCACUUAUAAGAGUGUAAGGGAAGAUGAAAGAGUGCUUAAAUUAAAAAAAUGCACUUUUAAGUGCUUGAUAUAUUCAAAGAAAAGGCUCUGAAAAAUUUAAAAAUUCAAAAAUAAACAAAUUGGCCUCGGCCUUCGAGGUGGCCUCUUCCUGGGCAGAGAAAAAUUAUGGGGGCAAAGUGAACGCAGUGAACCCUCCCCGGGCAUGGCAGCAUAAAUAAACAGAGGGGAGGAGCCUAGGCCCUAAAUGCCUAGGAGCCUAAAUGGUGUUUAGAAAUAAAAUUUAAAAAUUAAAUUGACAAUUUGUAAAUUUUUCAGAGCCUUUUCUUUGAAUAUAUCAAGCACUUAAAAGUGCAUUUUUUUUAAUUUAAGCACUCUUUCAUCUUCCCUUACACUCUUAUAAGUUUAAUUUUUUUGUUUUAGUGUACACUUUUUUGUCCAUUUCUGCAUCUAAACGCCUAACAACCUAAAACAUGCUCUAUUAUAGUCCUACUAUUGUUAGCAAUUUCUUUAUCGUCCAAUUUGUGUACACUAAAACAAAAAAAUUAAACUUAGAGCCUAGGCUCCUCCCCUCUGUUUAUUUUUGAAUUUUUGAAUUUUUUUCUGAUGGCUUUAAGAGAUUUAAGACCUAAACAAUGUGUUCUCUUUCAUUUUUUUACUGUAUUGACUUGUUCGAUGUCGCGCCCUAGUGGUUAGAGAGUUUGACUCCUAACCGUAAGGUUGUCGGUUCGAUUCAUCGUGGAAAUCCCGCACCGAACCCUCCCCGGGCACCGCAGCAUAAAUAAACAGAGGGGAGGAGCCUAGGCCCUAAAUGCCUAGGAGCCUAAAUGGUGUUUAGAAAUAAAAUUAGAGAUUUCUACUUACCUAACUCAGCCCGUGCCUCUCUCUCUGGGCCUCGCUGGUCUCCCUUUCCGGAAAACCAUACUGGAUGUCUCCAUCUGAAAUAAAUAAAAAAAGAUACAUAUGGGUUAAGAGUCAUGUAAAUAGACUCUUAAACUUAUAAGAGUGUAAGGGAAGAUAAAAGAGUGCUUAAAUUCAAAAAAUGCACUUUUAAGUGCUUGAAGAAGACACAGAAAGCUGUCGAGAUUUUAAACUAUAUACAAGUACCCAAGCCUUUUAUCGUGACGUUUCGACAACCUUCUGUGUCUUCUUCAGGCAUGACUUGUGUAAAAUACAUAUUUUCUUCACUGAGCUCAAUUUAAUUUUUUUAAUUUUCUUUCUAAACACCAUGUAUGUAAGUGAAAAAGAAAUAAAUGGGUCUGUGAAGAUAGUAACACAAAAAAGUGUACACUAAAACAAAAAAAAUUAAACUUCUAAGAGUGUAAGAAAAGAUGAAAGAGUGCUUAAAUUCAAAAAAUGCACUUUUAAGUGCUUGAUAUAUUCAAAGAAAAGGCUCUGAAAAAUUUAAAAAUUCAAAAAUAAACAGAGGGGAGGAGCCUAGGCCCUGCUUGUAUAUAGGAGCCUAAAUGGUGUUUAGAAAUAAAAUUUUUGGGUCUGUGAAGAUAGUAUCACAAAAAAAGUGUACACUAAAACAAAAAGAGUAAACUUAUAAGAGUGUAAGGGAAGAUGAAAGAGUGCUUAAAUUCAAAAAAUGCACUUUAAAGAUGCUUGAUAUAUUCAAAGAAAAGGCUCUGAAAAUUAAAAAAAUUACAAAAUAAACAGAGGGGAGGAGCUUUUAAUUCUAAAAAAUUAAAUUGAGCUCAGAGAAGAAAACAUUUAUUUUACACAAGUCAUGCCUGAAGAAGACACAGAAAGCUGUCGAAACGUCGCGAUAAAAGGCUUGUGUACUUGUAUAUAGUUUAAAAUCUCAUAUUUUAGGCAAAAACAAAUAGUUUAAAGUUAAUGAUGGAUUCUUUUAUUACAAACACACAGCUUUUAUUCAAAGAAAAGGCUCUGAAAAAUUUAAAAAUUCAAAAAUAAACAAAUUGGCCUCGGCCUUCGAGGUGGCCUCUUCCUGGGCAGAGAAAAAUUAUGGGGGCAAAGUGAACGCAGUGAACCCUCCCCGGGCAUGGCAGCAUAAAUAAACAGAGGGGAGGAGCCUAGGCCCUAAAUGCCUAGGAGACUAAAUGGUGUUUAGAAAUAAAAUUUACAAAUUAAAUUGAGCUCAGUGAAGAAAAUAUGUAUUUUACACAAGUCAUGCCUGAAGAAGACACAGAAGGUUGUCGAAACGUCGCGAUAAAAGGCUUGUGUACUUGUAUAUAGUUUAAAAUCUUCACAGACCCAAAAAUUAAAAAAAAUUAAAUUGAGCUCAGGGAAGAAAACAUCUCCAUCUGAAAAAAAUAAAAAAAGAUACAA
Molecule: long non-coding RNA, 9212 nt
Organism: Carassius gibelio (silver crucian carp)
Lineage: Eukaryota; Metazoa; Chordata; Actinopteri; Cypriniformes; Cyprinidae
Exons: 8
Source: RefSeq, a predicted model, not a curated record